CCCGGGGCUAGAGUUACAUCUUGACAGCUAUUGUCCCGGUGUGCUAGAGUUCUCAGAGAAUCUGCUGGUCUUGAUUCACUAACUGAGGGUCGCCAGUGCCCACCCCCCGCAGUGCCCAGAUCAGAAACAUAG
Small nucleolar RNA from Pipistrellus kuhlii (Kuhl's pipistrelle), 132 nucleotides. RefSeq annotates it as small nucleolar RNA SNORA3/SNORA45 family. The record is from RefSeq and is a predicted model, not a curated record. NCBI's taxonomy places the organism in Eukaryota, Metazoa, Chordata, Mammalia, Chiroptera, Vespertilionidae. The transcript has a single exon.